GAAUCUUCUGCGGCUAGCCGCUCUGCAUGCAGGCACGAGAGUUUGCUUUGCUGUUGCAUGCACAGUACAGCACAGCACAACUUGAUCAGCGUGUAUAUGGGCCUGUUGCAGAUUAAUUGGUUUACUUCUCCACCCAGUGGAGUAGUACAGCUGUAAAAGUAUAUACAGGGUGGCAAUUGAAUUGGUCCACCCCCUCCCCCUGCUCAUGGAGCAUGUGAGUUACUCCAUGCAAGGCAGGGUAAAAAGGGCAGUGGUGAAAAGAAGAAAAGUGGGGCGCGCUAGAUGGCAAUCCUGCAGGGGGUAGAAGAAAGUAGAGCCAACUCUCCCUUCUCAUGCUAAUUGCCCAGGCUAAGAUCAAAGCCAUAUAGCUGUCUCGUAGUAGCAACGUUUUUUUUAUUUUGGAAAAGAAAGAAAAAGAGAGGUCUAAUGGUGAAGUUCCUGUCCCAUGCACACAAGAAACACGCAAUAUGUGCGUGUGGUGGUUUGCAUCCAAUCCAAC
Long non-coding RNA from Brachypodium distachyon (stiff brome), 499 nucleotides. RefSeq lists it as uncharacterized. NCBI's taxonomy places the organism in Eukaryota, Viridiplantae, Streptophyta, Magnoliopsida, Poales, Poaceae. The record is from RefSeq and is a predicted model, not a curated record. The transcript is spliced from 3 exons.